AAAUGGACUAUAACUGCAAAAUAAAAUAUAUUUUUGUGAAGAAACUAAUGGCAGUGAGGAACUUAACUAAGCAGUGAUGACUGGUGGAGAGUGAGUGUGUUGCAGGACCUGUGUAUUAUUACAGAGAGUUUACAAAAAAAAAUUCCAUUGUUUCAGGGAAGGCAGACAAGAUGCUCCAUUGGGAACAGAUGGCUUUCUGGAAAUCUCCCAACAAGGACUACUCCUGGAAUAGAUUUCAUCUGCAAGCCCCACACAGAGCUUCUGACAUGGUAGGAAGUGGAAUCUCUGCUCUUAACUCUUGGCCAGCAAUCCUAGCUGUGGGAGGAACAAAGCCUUGAAUACAGUCAUUAAAAUUCAAUGCAACAAUUACAGUUAAUGUGCGUUAAUUUGGGCAUGUUAAGCUACUUACUAUAUGCCAGAUAUAUUAUUGUAACUGGCAAUAACAAGGAUAUCAUUUUUAGCAGUGUCACAGAUUCUGUUAAGCAGAGACUCUGGUCUGAGUAGCUUGUUAAUAAACAUAAUUGUCUAGUAA
This is a long non-coding RNA of Cyanistes caeruleus (blue tit), 532 nucleotides long. RefSeq lists it as uncharacterized. Lineage: Eukaryota; Metazoa; Chordata; Aves; Passeriformes; Paridae. The record is from RefSeq and is a predicted model, not a curated record.